RNAcentral lists this small RNA (591 nucleotides) under Pongo abelii (Sumatran orangutan). RNAcentral's name for it is "retained intron". The record is from RNAcentral. Lineage: Eukaryota; Metazoa; Chordata; Mammalia; Primates; Hominidae.
GAUGUGGCACGAGACAUUGAUACCCACACGCAUAGGAUUGGCCGCACAGGAAGAGCGGGUGAGAAAGGUGUGGCCUAUACCCUACUCACUCCCAAGGACAGCAAUUUUGCUGGUGACCUGGUCCGGAACUUGGAAGGAGCCAAUCAACACGUUUCUAAGGAACUCCUAGAUCUGGCAAUGCAGAAUGCCUGGUUUCGGAAAUCUCGAUUCAAAGGAGGAAAAGGAAAAAAGCUGAACAUUGGUGGAGGCGGCCUAGGCUACAGGGAGCGGCCUGGCCUGGGCUCUGAGAACAUGGUGAGUCUAGAGUACUACGGUAGUGCCUUUAUAGUUGGUCUCAUGUCCUGAAAGUCAUUAGGAAUAUUCUCAUCUACCCAAGAAAGCCUCAGUGAGUUUAAAACCCUGUAUAGAAGGGAAUUUGUAUUUAAUCUGAUUUGAGUCAAUGCAGUGCUCAUUCUUAUGGUAACUUGCUAUUGAAGAAGCAUUUUUGUGUACUUGGUUGACUAGGCUUGCUCAGGAAAUUAUUCUAGAUUAGCAGAGAUCUCACACUGUGGUCCCUGGGCCAGCAGCACAUGCAAACUCAUCCCCAACCCC